This 253-nucleotide ribosomal RNA is filed under the name uncultured bacterium. Its description in RNAcentral is "partial 16S ribosomal RNA". It matches the Rfam family "Bacterial small subunit ribosomal RNA", at positions 524 to 776 of the family's 1533-position model. The record is from RNAcentral.
GACAGAGGGGGCAAGCGUUGCUCGGAAUCACUGGGCGUAAAGGGCGCGUAGGCGGGAUGGCAAGUCAGUCGUGAAAUCUCUCGGCUCAACCGAGAAACGUCGGCUGAUACUGCCGUUCUUGAGGGAUGCAGAGGAGACUGGAAUUCCCGGUGUAGCGGUGAAAUGCGUAGAUAUCAGGAGGAACACCGGUGGCGAAGGCGGGUCUCUGGGCCGAUACUGACGCUGAGGAGCGAAAGCGUGGGGAGCGAACAGG